This 1463-nucleotide long non-coding RNA is filed under the name Ananas comosus (pineapple). RNAcentral's name for it is "long non-coding RNA (ACOM_LNC015059)". The record is from RNAcentral. Lineage: Eukaryota; Viridiplantae; Streptophyta; Magnoliopsida; Poales; Bromeliaceae.
AAUGAAAUGGUUCGGUUAGAUGAUCAUUGUUAUCGUUUGAAUAAUCAUGAAUUUGUAUGAGUUGGUGUUUUCUAUUAUGCAUGUAAUAAGAGUUUUAUGAAUCUUUGGUAUUUGGAUUUAGGUAUUCAUGCGUUGUGGUUUUCUACCCUUCGAGAUAGUCGGUUUUCAAAAAUAGAGUUUUCGAGUGGAAAACAGUUUUAAAAGGUUUUCGAAUAAUUUUCAUAGAUGAACAAAUAGAGUUUAAAAACAAAACCUCCUGAUAGGGAGCACUUUUAAAUAGGAUGAUUGUUGUAAUAUGCAUCACAUCAUCCAACGCCUAAGGAGUGUUUAGAGGCAUACAUCAUCUUUAAGGAUCGCUAGCUAUAUGGUAUUGCAUCGCAUCAUUUGCUUGUGGAUUGGUGAAUGUAGGUUUUGAGUUGUGAUCCUGUUGUUGUUAUCGUUGGGUACGCCGUGUAAAUACAAAGGAGACUCUAUUCGUGUGGGCAAAGAAACUUUAUAUUUGUUGCGGGUUUGUACGCCACGUAGGCCAGGUUGAAUUCAAAAAAAAAAAAGCAUAUUUUCCGCAACUUUGAUUUCUAAAAUAGUAUUCAUUAUAAAAAGACUUUUAAAUUCGGCCCCGGGGCGUGAUACUAUACUACUUAUAAAAGCGUGAGUUUUUUAUUUUUUAUUUUUUCCGAAAAUGACUCUAUCUUUUUUACUAAUUUUUUUUAUGUCCAGAAAUUUUGAACCAUUCAUUUCAAAUAAUUCACUAAGUAAUAAUUUAUUCUCAAAUAAAGAUAUUAAUUUUUUGCCAUUAAAUCUCAUUUAACGAUUGAAAAUAAAGAUAUCUGUCACUUUUUGUGACAAUAAUACUCUCGCAUUUAUAUCGUAUCUUUUAUUUACGCGUUUUUCAAAUAUUUUUCUUCUCACGCGUAAUCCCCGUACCCGUCAAUCCUUUCUCAACAUAAUAUCCGUGAAUUUGUCAAAUUAUUCAUCAAUCCACCUAUCAUACAUGUCUACCGCCUACAUAAUAUCCAACUAAUCUUUCUCACACGCAAUACCCGCGUGUUUCUCAAAUACCUCAUCAUAAUUCUAAUCUUUUCUCAUCGUUUCUAAAAAAUUCUCUCAACCUAUCAUAAUUUUGAAUUAAACAUAUCAUUGCAUUUAAAUUUAAAUAUUAAAGUAGAUCAAAAUUAAAUUUUAAAUUUUAAUUAAACAUAAAUUUUAUUACGGAAAUGUCUCUAUCUUUUAACUAAUUUUUCAUGUCCAAAAAUUUUGAACCAUUCAUCUCAAAUAAUCCAUUAAAUUUUGAAUUCGUCAAAAACAUAUAAUAUCUCCACUACUCUCGCAUUUGAAUUUAAAUCUUAAAAAAAAUUUGAAUUUUGAAUUAAACAUAAAUUUCUUUCCGAAGAUGUCUCUAUCUUUUUAACUAAUUUUUUCAUGGCCAGAAAUUUUGAACCAUUCAUUAAAUUUUGGAUUUGUCA